This 73-nucleotide transfer RNA is filed under the name Diaphorina citri (Asian citrus psyllid). It matches the Rfam family "tRNA". Rfam says of the family: Transfer RNA (tRNA) molecules are approximately 80 nucleotides in length. Their secondary structure includes four short double-helical elements and three loops (D, anti-codon, and T loops). Further hydrogen bonds mediate the characteristic L-shaped molecular structure. tRNAs have two regions of fundamental functional importance: the anti-codon, which is responsible for specific mRNA codon recognition, and the 3' end, to which the tRNAs corresponding amino acid is attached (by aminoacyl-tRNA synthetases). tRNAs cope with the degeneracy of the genetic code in two manners: having more than one tRNA (with a specific anti-codon) for a particular amino acid; and 'wobble' base-pairing, i.e. permitting non-standard base-pairing at the 3rd anti-codon position. Lineage: Eukaryota; Metazoa; Arthropoda; Insecta; Hemiptera; Psyllidae. The record is from Rfam by way of RNAcentral.
GCCUAGUUAGCUUAGUUGGUAGUGCGUCUGCCUUGUAAGCGCUAGGCCGCGGCUUCGAUUCCCGCCCGGGGCG